RNAcentral lists this ribosomal RNA (522 nucleotides) under uncultured Bacteroidota bacterium. Its description in RNAcentral is "uncultured Bacteroidetes bacterium partial 16S ribosomal RNA". Lineage: Bacteria; Pseudomonadati; Bacteroidota. The record is from RNAcentral.
GUACCGCGGCUGCUGGCACGGAGUUAGCCGAUCCUUAUUCAUAAGGUACAUACAAAAAGGGACACGUCCCUCACUUUAUUCCCUUAUAAAAGAAGUUUACAACCCAUAGGGCAGUCAUCCUUCACGCUACUUGGCUGGUUCAGACUCGCGUCCAUUGACCAAUAUUCCUCACUGCUGCCUCCCGUAGGAGUUUGGACCGUGUCUCAGUUCCAAUGUGGGGGACCUUCCUCUCAGAACCCCUAUCCAUCGUAGACUUGGUGGGCCGUUACCCCGCCAACAAUCUAAUGGAACGCAUCCCCAUCGCUUACCGAAAUUCUUUAAUAAAGAGAACAUGCGAACUCUUUAUACCAUCGGGUAUUAAUCUUUCUUUCGAAAGGCUAUCCCCGAGUAAGCGGCAGGUUGGAUACGUGUUACUCACCCGUGCGCCGGUCGCCAUCUGAAGUAUUGCUACUCCAAUGCUGCCCCUCGACUUGCAUGUGUUAAGCCUGUAGCUAGCGUUCAUCCUGAGCCAUGAUCAAACUC